AGUGAACGCUGGCGGUAGGCCUAACACAUGCAAGUCGAACGGCAGCACAGUAAGAGCUUGCUCUUACGGGUGGCGAGUGGCGGACGGGUGAGGAAUACAUCGGAAUCUACUUUUUCGUGGGGGAUAACGUAGGGAAACUUACGCUAAUACCGCAUACGACCUACGGGUGAAAGCAGGGGAUCUUCGGACCUUGCGCGAUUGAAUGAGCCGAUGUCGGAUUAGCUAGUUGGCGGGGUAAAGGCCCACCAAGGCGACGAUCCGUAGCUGGUCUGAGAGGAUGAUCAGCCAAACUGGAACUGAGACACGGUCCAGACUCCUACGGGAGGCAGCAGUGGGGAAUAUUGGACAAUGGGCGCAAGCCUGAUCCAGCCAUACCGCGUGGGUGAAGAAGGCCUUCGGGUUGUAAAGCCCUUUUGUUGGGAAAGAAAAGCAGCAGGUUAAGACCCCGCUGUUCUGACGGUACCCAAAGAAUAAGCACCGGCUAACUUCGU
This 491-nucleotide ribosomal RNA is filed under the name uncultured bacterium. RNAcentral's name for it is "partial 16S ribosomal RNA". It matches the Rfam family "Bacterial small subunit ribosomal RNA", at positions 29 to 506 of the family's 1533-position model. The record is from RNAcentral.